This 1732-nucleotide ribosomal RNA is filed under the name Escherichia coli. RNAcentral's name for it is "partial 23S ribosomal RNA". It matches the Rfam family "Bacterial large subunit ribosomal RNA", at positions 419 to 2136 of the family's 2925-position model. The record is from RNAcentral. Lineage: Bacteria; Pseudomonadati; Pseudomonadota; Gammaproteobacteria; Enterobacterales; Enterobacteriaceae.
GGGACACGUGGUAUCCUGUCUGAAUAUGGGGGGACCAUCCUCCAAGGCUAAAUACUCCUGACUGACCGAUAGUGAACCAGUACCGUGAGGGAAAGGCGAAAAGAACCCCGGCGAGGGGAGUGAAAAAGAACCUGAAACCGUGUACGUACAAGCAGUGGGAGCACGCUUAGGCGUGUGACUGCGUACCUUUUGUAUAAUGGGUCAGCGACUUAUAUUCUGUAGCAAGGUUAACCGAAUAGGGGAGCCGAAGGGAAACCGAGUCUUAACUGGGCGUUAAGUUGCAGGGUAUAGACCCGAAACCCGGUGAUCUAGCCAUGGGCAGGUUGAAGGUUGGGUAACACUAACUGGAGGACCGAACCGACUAAUGUUGAAAAAUUAGCGGAUGACUUGUGGCUGGGGGUGAAAGGCCAAUCAAACCGGGAGAUAGCUGGUUCUCCCCGAAAGCUAUUUAGGUAGCGCCUCGUGAAUUCAUCUCCGGGGGUAGAGCACUGUUUCGGCAAGGGGGUCAUCCCGACUUACCAACCCGAUGCAAACUGCGAAUACCGGAGAAUGUUAUCACGGGAGACACACGGCGGGUGCUAACGUCCGUCGUGAAGAGGGAAACAACCCAGACCGCCAGCUAAGGUCCCAAAGUCAUGGUUAAGUGGGAAACGAUGUGGGAAGGCCCAGACAGCCAGGAUGUUGGCUUAGAAGCAGCCAUCAUUUAAAGAAAGCGUAAUAGCUCACUGGUCGAGUCGGCCUGCGCGGAAGAUGUAACGGGGCUAAACCAUGCACCGAAGCUGCGGCAGCGACGCUUAUGCGUUGUUGGGUAGGGGAGCGUUCUGUAAGCCUGUGAAGGUGUGCUGUGAGGCAUGCUGGAGGUAUCAGAAGUGCGAAUGCUGACAUAAGUAACGAUAAAGCGGGUGAAAAGCCCGCUCGCCGGAAGACCAAGGGUUCCUGUCCAACGUUAAUCGGGGCAGGGUGAGUCGACCCCUAAGGCGAGGCCGAAAGGCGUAGUCGAUGGGAAACAGGUUAAUAUUCCUGUACUUGGUGUUACUGCGAAGGGGGGACGGAGAAGGCUAUGUUGGCCGGGCGACGGUUGUCCCGGUUUAAGCGUGUAGGCUGGUUUUCCAGGCAAAUCCGGAAAAUCAAGGCUGAGGCGUGAUGACGAGGCACUACGGUGCUGAAGCAACAAAUGCCCUGCUUCCAGGAAAAGCCUCUAAGCAUCAGGUAACAUCAAAUCGUACCCCAAACCGACACAGGUGGUCAGGUAGAGAAUACCAAGGCGCUUGAGAGAACUCGGGUGAAGGAACUAGGCAAAAUGGUGCCGUAACUUCGGGAGAAGGCACGCUGAUAUGUAGGUGAAGUCCCUCGCGGAUGGAGCUGAAAUCAGUCGAAGAUACCAGCUGGCUGCAACUGUUUAUUAAAAACACAGCACUGUGCAAACACGAAAGUGGACGUAUACGGUGUGACGCCUGCCCGGUGCCGGAAGGUUAAUUGAUGGGGUCAGCGCAAGCGAAGCUCUUGAUCGAAGCCCCGGUAAACGGCGGCCGUAACUAUAACGGUCCUAAGGUAGCGAAAUUCCUUGUCGGGUAAGUUCCGACCUGCACGAAUGGCGUAAUGAUGGCCAGGCUGUCUCCACCCGAGACUCAGUGAAAUUGAACUCGCUGUGAAGAUGCAGUGUACCCGCGGCAAGACGGAAAGACCCCGUGAACCUUUACUAUAGCUUGACACUGAACAUUGAGCCUUGAUG